This is a long non-coding RNA of Mauremys mutica (yellowpond turtle), 310 nucleotides long. RefSeq lists it as uncharacterized. The record is from RefSeq and is a predicted model, not a curated record. The transcript has 3 exons. NCBI's taxonomy places the organism in Eukaryota, Metazoa, Chordata, Testudines, Geoemydidae.
ACAGCUUCAACUGAAGAGACUGAGGGAGCAACUCAUCAGAAUAUCCUGUAGUUCUGGGCACCAAUCUGAGAGAUGUCAAAUCCCAGUUCAAAUCCCUUCUCUCACCAGAUGGAGGGAGGACUUCAAGCAGAGAUCUCCAACAUCCCAGGAGCAUGUUGAAGAAGUUCCCUUCCCUGAUGAACCUGAGUAGGACACCAAGCCAGAGGAGGAACCAGAAACAAAGCCUGUUGUCUGAGGCUGUGGCGCUGAGCUGAAUCUUCAGGAAACCUGGUGAAGUUGUAGUUUGUCUUUCUUUCCCUGUCCAUUUCAC